CCGGAUCUCAGAUCAAGUAAGAUUACCCGCCUGAAUUUAAGCAUAUAAAUUAAAGCAGAGGAAAAGAACUAAUUAGGGAUUCCCUCAUUAACGGCG
RNAcentral lists this ribosomal RNA (96 nucleotides) under Pseudo-nitzschia calliantha. Its description in RNAcentral is "partial large subunit ribosomal RNA". It matches the Rfam family "Eukaryotic large subunit ribosomal RNA", at positions 1 to 91 of the family's 3401-position model. Lineage: Eukaryota; Bacillariophyta; Bacillariophyceae; Bacillariales; Bacillariaceae. The record is from RNAcentral.